UGAGAAAAGAAAAGCAUAUAACAUUGAAAUCAUGCGUGGAACAACGAACCCUCUUGUUGUUGGACGUAUAAUAGGAGAUGUUGUGGAACCAUUUGCAUGUUCCAUCCCUAUGAGAGUUGUCUACAACCAUAACAAAGAAGUCAUCAACAGUGGUGAGCUCAAACCCUCCCAAAUAAUCUCCCAUCCGAGAGUUGAGGUUGGUGGAGAUGAUCUCAGGACCCUUUACACUUUGGUCAUGGUGGACCCUGAUGCACCCAGCCCAAGUAACCCAACUAUGAGGGAAUAUCUUCACUGGUUGGUAAUCAACAUUCCAGCGACAACAGGGUCAAACUUUGGAGAAGAGAUUGUGAGCUACGAAAGUCCAAGACCGACAUCAGGGAUUCAUCGUUUAGUGUUCGUGUUGUUUAAACAACCUGGUAGACAAUCCAUACAUGCUCCUGGGUGGCGUCAAAAUUUCAUCACCAGAGAUUUCGCCGAAUAUUACAAUCUUGGAUCACCAGUUGCUGCUGUCUUUUUCAAUUGCCAGCGUCAAUCUGGUUCUGGCGGAAGGAGGCUC
RNAcentral lists this small RNA (556 nucleotides) under Vigna angularis var. angularis. RNAcentral's name for it is "Non-protein coding transcript". Lineage: Eukaryota; Viridiplantae; Streptophyta; Magnoliopsida; Fabales; Fabaceae. The record is from RNAcentral.